AUGGCAUGUGGCAUGGGCUAUGCGUGCCUGCAAUCACUUGCCGGAGAAGCCCAGCAUCAUCAUCGUCCAUCAGCCUCUGGCGCAAAAGCUUCCACUCCAAGAUCGGGAAUGAUGGGAGGAGCUCCUGGGGUGGCCUGGGUGAGGAAUUGUUGUACCAAGAAGAGCAGAAGCGUGAGCAGUAGCAGGGGAAUCAAUCAAAGCAAAGUUGGGUUGGAGCACAGGCCGCUCGUGAGGCACCGCGACAAGGACGCCCCAAGCGUUUUCGCCUUUGUCCUCGUCCUGAAUUUUCUUGCAUUAUCAUCACAUAUAUUCACAUGCAUAUAUAACAACAACACGGGGAGGUCGGUGCACAGAAUUGAGGGCGCUGCUACGAACUGCUAA
RNAcentral lists this ribosomal RNA (381 nucleotides) under Triticum aestivum (bread wheat). RNAcentral's name for it is "partial small subunit ribosomal RNA". Lineage: Eukaryota; Viridiplantae; Streptophyta; Magnoliopsida; Poales; Poaceae. The record is from RNAcentral.